RNAcentral lists this ribosomal RNA (253 nucleotides) under uncultured bacterium. RNAcentral's name for it is "partial 16S ribosomal RNA". It matches the Rfam family "Bacterial small subunit ribosomal RNA", at positions 524 to 776 of the family's 1533-position model. The record is from RNAcentral.
UACGUAGGGUGCGAGCGUUAAUCGGAAUUACUGGGCGUAAAGCGUGCGCAGGCGGUUCGUUGUGUCGGCGGUGAAAGCCCCGGGCUUAACCUGGGAAUGGCCGUUGAAACUGGCGAACUGGAGUGUGGCAGAGGGGGGUGGAAUUCCGCGUGUAGCAGUGAAAUGCGUAGAGAUGCGGAGGAACACCGGUGGCGAAGGCGGGUCUCUGGGCAGUAACUGACGCUGAGGAGCGAAAGCGUGGGGAGCGAACAGG